CACUCCUGCGGGAGGCAGCAGUGGGGAAUUUUGGACAAUGGGGGCAACACUGAUCCAGCAAUGCCGCGUGAGUGAAGAAGGCCUUCGGGUUGUAAAGCUCUUUUGUCAGGGAAGAAACGGUGGUGGCGAAUAACUACUACUAAUGACGGUACCUGAAGAAUAAGCACCGGCUAACUACGUGCCAGCAGCCGCGGUAAUACGUAGGGUGCAAGCGUUAAUCGGAAUUACUGGGCGUAAAGCGUGCGCAGGCGGUUGUGUAAGUCAGAUGUGAAAUCCCCGGGCUCAACCUGGGAAUUGCAUUUGAGACUGCACGGCUAGAGUGUGUCAGAGGGGGGUAGAAUUCCACGUGUAGCAGUGAAAUGCGUAGAUAUGUGGAGGAAUACCGAUGGCGAAGGCAGCCCCCUGGGAUAACACUGACGCUCAUGCACGAAAGCGUGGGGAGCAAACAGGAUUAGAAACCCGAGUAGUCCC
RNAcentral lists this ribosomal RNA (471 nucleotides) under uncultured organism. RNAcentral's name for it is "partial 16S ribosomal RNA". It matches the Rfam family "Bacterial small subunit ribosomal RNA", at positions 334 to 797 of the family's 1533-position model. The record is from RNAcentral.